UACGAAGGGUGCAAGCGUUAAUCGGAAUUACUGGGCGUAAAGCGCGCGUAGGUGGUUCAGUAAGUUGGAUGUGAAAUCCCCGGGCUCAACCUGGGAACUGCAUCCAAAACUGCUGAGCUAGAGUACGGUAGAGGGUGGUGGAAUUUCCUGUGUAGCGGUGAAAUGCGUAGAUAUAGGAAGGAACACCAGUGGCGAAGGCGACCACCUGGACUGAUACUGACACUGAGGUGCGAGAGCGUGGGGAGCAAACAGG
Molecule: ribosomal RNA, 253 nt
Filed under: uncultured bacterium
Lineage: Bacteria
Description: partial 16S ribosomal RNA
Rfam family: Bacterial small subunit ribosomal RNA
Source: RNAcentral